GACGAACGCUGGCGGCGUGCCUAAUACAUGCAAGUCGAGCGGAACUGGGGGGAGCUUGCUCCUUCCAGUUUAGCGGCGGACGGGUGAGUAACACGUGGGCAACCUGCCCUGCAGAUCGGGAUAACUCCGGGAAACCGGUGCUAAUACCGAAUAGUUUGGCGCCUCUCCUGAGGCGCUACGGAAAGACGGUUUCGGCUGUCCCUGCAGGAUGGGCCCGCGGCGCAUUAGCUAGUUGGUGGGGUAACGGCCCACCAAGGCGACGAUGCGUAGCCGACCUGAGAGGGUGACCGGCCACACUGGGACUGAGACACGGCCCAGACUCCUACGGGAGGCAGCAGUAGGGAAUCUUCCGCAAUGGACGCAAGUCUGACGGAGCAACGCCGCGUGAGUGACGAAGGUUUUCGGAUCGUAAACUCUGUUGUGAGGGAAGAACAUGUACCAACUAACUAUUGGUACCUUGACGGUACCUCACCAGAAAGCCACGGCUAACUACGUGCCAGCCGCCGCCGUAA
This 512-nucleotide ribosomal RNA is filed under the name uncultured bacterium. Its description in RNAcentral is "partial 16S ribosomal RNA". It matches the Rfam family "Bacterial small subunit ribosomal RNA", at positions 28 to 523 of the family's 1533-position model. The record is from RNAcentral.